This 1629-nucleotide long non-coding RNA is filed under the name Amborella trichopoda. RNAcentral's name for it is "long non-coding RNA (ATRI_LNC003285)". Lineage: Eukaryota; Viridiplantae; Streptophyta; Magnoliopsida; Amborellales; Amborellaceae. The record is from RNAcentral.
CUUCGCGUGUUUCUCUCUCCCCUGUGAAUCUCCCUAACUCUUCCUUUUAAGUCUUAAUGCCCUUCCCUACACUAUCAACCUCAUCAAGAAGCUCUUGAGUCGCCUUUAAAUAUUUUUAACCCAUCGGAACCCCCUGUAAAUUUGAUGAAACAGAGUCCACAGUCCCCUGUUUCAUUCUAUCAGAUAAUCCACGGCCAUUUGAAUGCCAUUCGAUGGUUGUUGGGAAAAAAGACUCAAAGAGUGAACCCCUUGUUAUGUUUGAUCAGACGCCAUGGGUGCUAUUCAAAUACCCAUAUGAGAAAUCGUGAUUUCCUGAACAGGUUGGAAAUGAGAGAUUGAGGCUGAACUGUUCAUAUUUACGAUUUGGGGAGGAUUAAUAUAGGCCUUAGAUUGAUCAGUUGCUUGGAGAAGGGUGGGUUCAUUGCCCUAUUUCCUCCAUUGAUUGUCUUGGUGAUGGCCUGAAAUUCGAUAGGCAAGCAAAUUCGGGUUUAUGACAGGCGGGUUUACAAUGAGUACCUGGCGUUGUGCGCCUGAGGUUGUUGGUUUGUGUUUUAAGAGAGAUUGGUACCAGUUGUUAAGGGAUUUCUAUUAACAUGAUUUACAAGCACCAUGUUUCCUGGAUUUGCAGAGGGCGUCGCCUCUGCAUAACCCACAUAUCCAGGGUUCAUGCUAUAGAAGGUUUAGGGAUUAUACUAUAAUGGGCUUUGACUUUGUCUCAAUUUGUAACAUCCGGCCAUUGGAGUGAUUGAUUUUUUUUACAAUGGCUAACUGUAAAUACGUUCCAAUAAUUAUGAAGGAUACUUAUAUUAUUGCUGUAGAAGAUAAUGGACGUACAAUUGUUACGCAGGUUUUCAGCUGGUUGUCUCUUCUCCAUCUUCUCUUUCUGAUUCUCUCUAUAGCCUCUACUUCUCCCAUGACACUCUCUCUCUUCUUUAAAUAGAGGGUGAUGUAGGAAAAAAAAAAUAAAAAUAAAAAUAAAAAGAAUGGUUGAGAUAAUAUACCCUAUCUUAAAGUCUAUAAGAGAAUCUACACGAUAUCAAAAUUUAUUAACUCAUUAACUUUUUUACAAUGAACUUUUUUUAUCUCCCUCCAAAUAUACUAAAAAAAAUUAAGAAAUAAGAUAAACAAUGAACUUUCCUAUUUUAUCUCUCCCCUAUUUUCUCUUUUUUAACCUAGCUACCUUUUAUCCAAACCUUCUCCUUCAAUAGAUAGCCACGUUUUACCCAUAAUCUACCGUCUUCAAUAGAUAGCCACGUUUUACCCAUAAUCUACCGUCUUCAAUAGAUAGCCACAUUGUCAAAAAUAAACCCUCUAAAUUUAACAUUAUUCUAUUUAUGCUCUUAAACUAACCCGAUUUAACCUUAUUCUAAUUACAUUUUUAAACUAUCUGGGGAAAGUUUUCUAUGUUUCCCCUACAACAUAAAAUUCUACCUUUCCCUUACCAUCCAACAAUCUAUUUUUUAUCAAGACAGCCACGUACCAUUUGAUCUUAGAUCCAACGUCUCAAAAUAUUUUAUUUUUAAUUUUUUUAAUGCAAUUUUCUUGAAUAUGAAAUUUGGUAUAUAUUAUCUUCUCUUUGGGAUGCACCUAUAAAAAAUAGUAACAAUAAUUUUUCGAUAAAAACUAAUG